Molecule: ribosomal RNA, 61 nt
Filed under: Scolecobasidium sp. KH00283
Lineage: Eukaryota; Fungi; Ascomycota; Dothideomycetes; Venturiales; Sympoventuriaceae
Description: partial 18S ribosomal RNA
Source: RNAcentral
GAGUGGCUAUAUUCGUGUUCUCUUCGGAGGGGCGAAGCUACCCGACCUGAUGUCAUUCUAU